Small nucleolar RNA from Jaculus jaculus (lesser Egyptian jerboa), 142 nucleotides. Lineage: Eukaryota; Metazoa; Chordata; Mammalia; Rodentia; Dipodidae. The record is from Ensembl.
ACCCAAGGUGAUUCCCUCUCCAAGGGGCCAACUAAUGCCUCUUUCAGAAAUGUAGCAACUUGGAAGAGAAACUGACAUGCCUAAGGUCCUUGGACAGUGUGGGAUGUAUAUUUCCUUUGCCUUCCUUUGGCUGCCUACAUAA